RNAcentral lists this ribosomal RNA (371 nucleotides) under uncultured bacterium. Its description in RNAcentral is "bacterial SSU rRNA". It matches the Rfam family "Bacterial small subunit ribosomal RNA", at positions 527 to 896 of the family's 1533-position model. The record is from RNAcentral.
AGAGGUGGCAAGCGUUGUUCGGAAUUACUGGGCGUAAAGGGCGCGUAGGCGGUUCGUCAAGUCCUGUGUGAAAUCCCCCGGCUCAACUGGGGAACUGCACAGGAAACUAGCGGGCUUGAGUUCGGGAGAGGGAAGCGGAAUUCCGGGUGUAGCGGUGAAAUGCGUAGAUAUCCGGAGGAACACCGGUGGCGAAGGCGGCUUCCUGGACCGACACUGACGCUGAGGCGCGAAAGCUAGGGGAGCAAACGGGAUUAGAUACCCCGGUAGUCCUAGCUGUAAACGAUGAGUGCUGGGUGUAGGGGGUAUUAACCCCCCCUGUGCCGAAGCUAACGCAUUAAGCACUCCGCCUGGGGAGUACGGUCGCAAGGCUG